CCUACGGGUGGCAGCAGUAGGGAAUAUUGCUCAAUGGGGGAAACCCUGAAGCAGCAACGCCGCGUGGAGGAUGAAGGUUUUCGGAUUGUUCACUCCUUUUGUUCGUGAAGCUAAUGACGGUAUCUCACGAAUAAGCACUGGCUAACUCCGUGCCAGCAGCCGCGGUACUACGGCGGGUGCAAGCGUUACUCGGAAUCACUGGGCGUAAAGAGCGCGUAGGCGGGAUAGCAAGUCAGAUGUUAAAUCCUAUGGCUUAACAAUAGAACUGCAGUUGAAACUGUUAUUCUAGAGUAGGGGAGAGGUAGGUGGAAGUCGUGGUGUAGGGGGAAAAUCCGUAGAGAUCAAGAGGAAUACUCAUUGCGAAGGCGACCUGCUAGAACAUAACUGACGCUGAUGCGCGAAAGCGUGGGGAGCAAACAGGAUUAGAUACCCCUGUAGUC
Molecule: ribosomal RNA, 440 nt
Filed under: uncultured bacterium
Lineage: Bacteria
Description: partial 16S ribosomal RNA
Rfam family: Bacterial small subunit ribosomal RNA
Source: RNAcentral